AGCAGCCGCGGUAAUUCCAGCUCCAAUAGCGUAUAUUAAAGUUGUUGCAGUUAAAAAGCUCGUAGUUGAAUUUCGGGAUUAAUAUGUUGGUCGUGCCUUGGUACGUACUGGCAUUAUUGAUUCCUACCUUCUGAAGAACCUCGAUGUCAUUAAUUUGGUGUCUUGGGGGAAAUCAGGACCGUUUACUUUGAAAAAAAUUAGAGUGUUUAAAGCAGGCUCGCGCUUGAAUACACUAGCAUGGAAUAAUGAAAUAGGACGUUUGAUUCUAUUUUGUUGGUUUCUAGGAUCGACGUAAUGAUUAAUAGGGAUAGUUGGGGGCAUUAGUAUUCAAUUGUCAGAGGUGAAAUUCUUGGAUUUAUUGAAGACUGACUACUGCGAAAGCAUUUGCCAAGGAUGUUUUCAUUAAUCAAGAACGAAAGUUAGGGGAUCGAAGACGAUCAGAUACCGUCGUAGUCUUAACCAUAAACUAUGCCGACUAGGGAUCGGAUGAUGUUAAUUUUUUAAUGACUCAUUCGGCGCC
Molecule: unclassified non-coding RNA, 520 nt
Filed under: uncultured Glomus
Lineage: Eukaryota; Fungi; Glomeromycota; Glomeromycetes; Glomerales; Glomeraceae
Description: SSU rRNA
Rfam family: Eukaryotic small subunit ribosomal RNA
Source: RNAcentral